This 405-nucleotide long non-coding RNA is filed under the name Homo sapiens (human). Its description in RNAcentral is "non-protein coding lnc-FAM196A-1:14". The record is from RNAcentral. Lineage: Eukaryota; Metazoa; Chordata; Mammalia; Primates; Hominidae.
UCACCCAGGGGAGGUGGAGCCCCCAGACGCUGUGAUAUGAAAUUCCAGAUCAUGGGAGGGAGAGUUUGAAGAAGGAAGAACCACCAAUAGAAAGCGGUCCCCAAAGAGGUAUCGGGGAUGGCACCCAGACAGGAGCACAUGUACCACUGCCCAGAAUGUGCAUUUCACUAGACAAGUGACCACAAAAGUUUUCACUGUGACUUGAAAAUGCCCACUCCUCCCAGAAGUUCAAGGAACUGGACCCCCGGACAUGAGCCCAAGGUUCGCCGGCUUCAAAGAUCCUGGCCACACACCAGUGAGCCUGGCAGAGGCAGGCUUCUGGUCCUCUUUCCCAGUGAUUUCCUGCUGGCCUGACACCAAACUCCACUUUCCCUGAAUGACUCUAAUAAAAGUUUAUCAAAACUC